UGGGAACUCAGCAGGAGUCCAUACACGCAAUUCAGGUGAAUACUGAAGAAGGGAUCUGGGGAAAAAAUGGAGGACAACGCAAUCAAGUGGGAUGGAGAACAAGAGGUAAGAUCAAUUCAAACCAAAUGAACCCUAUACAAGAAAACUCCAAUAAACUCUGGGAACUGGAAGAUCACUGAUGAUACUAUGAAAUAUCCUGUGUCAAGGGAAUGCCUGGAGCCCCCACCAUCUAAAAGGACUUGACAGACUUGAAAAGUGGGCCUGUGAAAAUGCCAUGGAGUUUACAAGGCCAAAUGCAAGGUCCUGCUCCUGGCUUGGGGCAAUUCCAGCUACAAAGACAGGCUCGGCGUGGAAUAAUUGAGAACAGCCCUGAGGAGGACUUGGGGAUGUUAGUGAAGCUGGGCAUGAGCUGGCAAUAUGUGUUUGCAGCCCAGAAAGCCAAUUGUAUCCUGGGCUGCAUCCAAAGCAGCAUGGCCAGAGGGGUGAGGGACGGGGUUCUGCCCCUCUGCUCUUCUCUGCUCUGCUCUGAUGAGACCCCACCUGGAGUGCUGUAUUCAAUGCUGGAAACCCUAACACAGAAAGGACAUGAACCUAUUGGUCAGAGUCCAGGGGAGGGCCACAAAGAUGACCAGAGGGCUGGAGCAUCUUUCCUGUGGAGACAGGCUGAGGGGGUUGGUGUUAUUCAGUGUGGAGAAGAGAAGGGUCUGGGGAGACUGAAUUGCAACCUUCCAGUACCUAAAGGGGGCUUAUAAGAAAGACGAGGACAAACUUUUCAAUAGGGCUUGUAGUGGUAGGACAAGGGGCAAUGUCUUUUAACAGAAAGAGGGUAUAUUUAGACUAGAUACAAGGAAGAUGUUUUUUAUUGAGAGGGUGGUGAGACACUAGAACAGGAUGCUCAGAAAAGCUGUGGAUACCCUGUCCGUGGAUGUGUUCAAGACCAGGUUGGAUGAGGCUUUGAGCAACCUGAUCGAGUGGAAGGUGUCCCUGCCCAUAGUAGCUGGGUGGUUGGAACUAGGUGAUCUUUAAGGUCCCUUCCAACCCAAACCAUUCAAUGAUUCCAUGGAAACAGUUGUUCAACGACAAAUGCGUAAAUAGAGGAUGAGCCUAUCCUAUGAACCUGUGUAUUGUGACUGUAAC
Molecule: long non-coding RNA, 1137 nt
Organism: Poecile atricapillus (Black-capped chickadee)
Lineage: Eukaryota; Metazoa; Chordata; Aves; Passeriformes; Paridae
Exons: 3
Source: RefSeq, a predicted model, not a curated record